AUGGGUCUCAUCCUCCCCAGGAGACUUCAGCCAGUUUCUGUGCUCAUAUCCUCCCACCCACUACCAGGAAAUCACCCCUUCUCGCCUGUGGGCAGGAGACCUUGUCAAGGAAGCUCUUUCUGCAGGAAGAGGCUGAGAGGGUCCGUGGUCUCCACUGCUCAUUCUGUCUUUUUUUUUUUUUUUUUUUUCUUUUUUUUUGGUUUUUUUCUCCGGUACCGGGAACCGAACUCACGACCUCGCACUUGCCAGGCAGGCGCUAUUGCCGCUGAGCUAAAUUCCCAGCCCCGCUCAUUCUGUCUUUCUUAGGUGGAGAAGAGCUCAGCUUCAGAAAGACUCCCAAGCAGGACUGCUCAGGUGGGUUAUGUCUUCUGACCUUCCCUUUGAGCUCAGCCUGCUCCCAUGUGACUUUCCAGGGCCACAUGGCCUGGGGGCAGCACCUCUACCCAGGACACCUCCCUGUCCAUUCCCUUCUCAGUUCUGCCCUUUGUCCCCUUUCCACUUUCUCUAUGGGAUAUUUUAAUACCCAGGCCACACUUUGAGAAACAAGGGUGAUGGAGUCUCUUUCUCUUUUUUUGGGAGGGGCCCAGAUCUUGGUUUUUAAAAUUUUAAUCUUAAAGAUAUUUUAGUGUAAUACAUGUAGAUAUUAAUAAAGAAAAUAUAAAAAAGCACUCUUCUUACUUCUAUGGGAAAAUGAAACAAAAUUUAAUAACAUAACAAUUACCGAGUAAAAUAGCUAGUACACUGCACACCAUAAUCUUAGAAGAAUGACCUCUCUCUUUUGAAAGGACGGCAUCAUCGCAGUGCACACUUCUGCUGUAUCUUGACCUUGGGGCUGUGAACACCAGAGGGAACACCUGGGGUCCCCAAAUACAGGGGCGUGUUUUCUUUGUGACACGGAAACCCGGUUUGUCACUCAGUCCUCUCUGUGCUCUCAAAUCAUCUGGAAAGGUGGGAUCACUCUCAGCAAAAAUGUGACAGAGGUGGCUCCAGAGGCUAGAAAGGGUCCAGCUGAGUAAUCACUGUUGAGGAGAACCUGUCCUCUAUAGCUACUGUCAUCAGCCUCGCCUCAGAUCCAGGGACGGUUACCCAUAAGCAGUUGUCCUAGAGGGAGCUCAAUGUCCUGAGUGUGCAGUGGGAGACGAUGUGUGGUGGAAGAGAGGACUUUGGUGGUGGGAGAUCAUGGCUGUUGCUCCAUCAUUUUUGGUAGAAAGUUUCAGGAAGAACUUUUCUGUCCACGUGUGUUUGCUAAGCUGCUAGUCAGUACUGCUCGUGUUCUUCAUAAGAUGCCUCUGUCCCCUGACCAGCUGACUCGCAGUGGUCACCCCACCCCCUUUCACAUGGGGGUUACCAUAGGGUUACCUAGGGAUGUCUGACAGAGCAGAGCCCACAAGGUCCCAUGGAGAGAGUGGGACAGAGGAAGCAUGUGGUGGGGACAUAGCAGCUUUUUUGGGGGCAAUGGAUGGAAGUUAGGCUCCAUUUCUAGGCACAGAACUAAGUUUAUGCCUCUGGUGAUUCAUUUCCUGAGUAUUGAUUCUGUGUCUAAUGUUAUAUCCUUGAGGACAUGAGCAAACCUGUGUCUAGGCUUUACAGCAGGGAUGCUGACCAGGCUCCAGAUUGUAUGAAUUGACCCCAAACCCUGGGCAUAGGUGGGCUUUGAACUCUGGUCUACAGGGUGGCUUGUCCCAGUUCCUAUUGACUACAGGUCCCCAGACUGACCAACACUGUCCUGUGUAGGGGGAACAGGGAGAAGAUACGAUAAAUGAGGCAAGUAGAAUCUCAAAUAGCCGUGAUCAGGCAAAAGCCACUCCAUGGCACAUAAUAAUUAGAAAUUACAGUACUCUGAAAAAGGAGAUCAAAGAAGAUAUCAAAAAA
RNAcentral lists this long non-coding RNA (1872 nucleotides) under Chinchilla lanigera (long-tailed chinchilla). RNAcentral's name for it is "lncRNA (ENSCLAG00000027223.1)". The record is from RNAcentral. Lineage: Eukaryota; Metazoa; Chordata; Mammalia; Rodentia; Chinchillidae.